Molecule: ribosomal RNA, 463 nt
Filed under: uncultured bacterium
Lineage: Bacteria
Description: bacterial SSU rRNA
Rfam family: Bacterial small subunit ribosomal RNA
Source: RNAcentral
GACGAACGCUGGCGGCGUGCCUAAUACAUGCAAGUCGAGCGAGCUUGCCUAGAUGAAUUUGGUGCUUGCACCAAAUGAAACUAGAUACAAGCGAGCGGCGGACGGGUGAGUAACACGUGGGUAACCUGCCCAAGAGACUGGGAUAACACCUGGAAACAGAUGCUAAUACCGGAUAACAACACUAGACGCAUGUCUAGAGUUUAAAAGAUGGUUCUGCUAUCACUCUUGGAUGGACCUGCGGUGCAUUAGCUAGUUGGUAAGGCAACGGCUUACCAAGGCAAUGAUGCAUAGCCGAGUUGAGAGACUGAUCGGCCACAUUGGGACUGAGACACGGCCCAAACUCCUACGGGAGGCAGCAGUAGGGAAUCUUCCACAAUGGACGCAAGUCUGAUGGAGCAACGCCGCGUGAGUGAAGAAGGGUUUCGGCUCGUAAAGCUCUGUUGGUAGUGAAGAGAUAGAGGUA